This 91-nucleotide non-coding RNA is filed under the name Clostridium acetireducens. RNAcentral's name for it is "Glycine sequence". It matches the Rfam family "Glycine riboswitch aptamer". From Rfam's summary of the family: This family represents the bacterial glycine riboswitch. Glycine riboswitches usually consist of two metabolite-binding aptamers domains with similar structures in tandem. The aptamers cooperatively bind glycine to regulate the expression of downstream genes. The record is from RNAcentral. RNAcentral also lists the same sequence under 1 other name. Lineage: Bacteria; Bacillati; Bacillota; Clostridia; Eubacteriales; Clostridiaceae.
UGACGAGCCUCUGGAGAGACUUUUAAAAGUCACCGAAGGAGAAAGCUGAUUUUUCAGCGAAACUCUCAGGUAAAAGGACAGAGUAUUUUCU